This is an RNA transcript of Eucalyptus grandis, 4042 nucleotides long. It is a transcript of the gene named putative pentatricopeptide repeat-containing protein At1g77010, mitochondrial, with no coding region annotated. The record is from RefSeq and is a predicted model, not a curated record. The transcript has 3 exons. NCBI's taxonomy places the organism in Eukaryota, Viridiplantae, Streptophyta, Magnoliopsida, Myrtales, Myrtaceae.
UCCCGGGACUGCUUGCAACUCACCAUAACGGCGUAGCUUGAUAGUUCAAGUAGAAAUGCUGCUCUCACCUUCGCCCCCAAGCACCGGCCGACUCAGGGGCUUGCCGACGGUCGCCGUCGUCUGGUGGCGUCGGACUGGCGGGACGCCGGCGCCGGCGAUUUUGGAGUUCAGGCCGACAGCUUCUUUAGCGUAAACAUCGAGACAUCAUGGACAUGGAUGUGCGAACCUGCGGGCACUUACUCCAGUCCUGCAGCACUCGGCUCGCCGUCCACGAGGGCAAGCAGCUCCAUCCUCUCCUCCUGAAAAAGGGUCUCUUGAACUGCGCCAUCACGCUCGGAAACCGUCUCCUUCAGCUCUACGCCAAGUGCGGCCAAAUGGAUAAUGCACGGCGAAUGUUUGAUGAUAUGCCUCUGAGGAAUUGCUUCACUUGGAACACGAUCGUUGAGGGCUAUGUGAGGACGGGAGAGGCGGCCAAGUCACUGGAGUUUUUUAGUCACAUGCCCUGCCGCAAUGAUUUCUCUUGGAACGUGGUGAUUUCGGGUUUUGCCAAGAGGGGUGAUCUUCAGACCGUUUCUUGUUUGUUUAAUGCCAUGCCCAGGAAGAAUGCAGUCGCGUGGAAUUCGAUGAUCCAUGGUUAUGCCAAGAAUGGGCGUCCCAGGGAAGCCCUUAGGUUGUUUAAGGACAUGAAUUCGGAUCCUUUCGAGAGAACGCAGGGUGAUACUUUUGUUUUGGCCACCGUCAUAGGUGCUUGUUCUGACCUGGAGGCUAUUGAUUGUGGCAAGCAGAUACAUGCGCGCCUUGUUAUUGACAGAGUGGCAUUUGAUUCGGUGUUGGCUAGUUCGUUGGUAAACUUGUAUGGAAAAUGCGGUGAUUUGGAUAGUGCAAAUCGAGUUUUGAGUAGCAUGGAGGAACCAGAUGACUUUUCUCUGUCGGCAUUGAUUUCUGGGUAUGCCAACUGUGGUAAAAUGGAUGAGGCAAGAAGGGUUUUCAGCAGUAGCAAUAACCCAUGUGUCGUUACAUGGAAUUCACUGAUUGCAGGCCAUGUAGCUAAUAACGAGGAAAUGGAAGCUUUAGUUUUGUUUAACAAGAUGCGUGAAGUAGCCGUCCGUGAGGACGCCUCUACAGUAGCCAGUAUUUUAAGUGCAUGCAACAGCUUAGGUGUCCUUGCACAGGGUAAGCUAAUGCAUGCCCAUGUUUGGAAGAGUGGUCUCCUUAAUGAAGUUAUUGUCGCAAGUGCUCUUGUUGACAUGUACUAUAAAUGUGGAAGUCUUAGGGAUGCUUGCAAUCUCUUUGAUGAGCUGGAAGUUCAUGACACAAUCUUACUCAAUUCUAUGAUCACGGUAUAUUCUAACUGCGGAAAGGUUGAUGACGCAAAAGAAAUUUUCCAGUCUAUGUCAAAGAAAAGCCUGAUAUCAUGGAAUUCAAUGCUAGUAGGUCUCAGUCAGAAUGGUUGUCCUCUUGAAGCUUUAGAUCUUUUCUGCGAGAUGAAUAGGCUUGGCUUGAUGAUGGAUAAGUUCAGCUUUGCUAGUGUUCUCAGUUCUUGUGCUAUUAUUUCCUCAUUUGAUCUGGGGGAACAAAUUUUUGGAAGAGCCAUUGUCAUUGGGCUUGAACAUGACCCUAUCAUUUCUACUUCCCUUGUUGAUUUCUUCUGCAAGUGUGGUCAUGUUGAAAAAGGGAGAAAAGUGUUUGAUGGAAUGGUGAAAAUAGACGAAGUUUCUUGGAAUACCAUGCUGAUGGGUUAUGCUACCAAUGGCCAUGGGAUGAAAGCAUUGAGUCUGUUUGAGGAGCUGAGGCAUGCUGGUUUGAGACCCACAGAUAUUACUUUCACAGCAGUCCUGUCUGCAUGUGAUCAUUGUGGAUUGGUUGAAGAGGGGUGGAAAUGGUUAUAUGCGAUGAAAUUGGAUUAUGACAUUGAUCCAAGGAUCGAACACUACUCUUGUGUUAUCGAUCUUUUUGCACGGGCUGGUUAUCUGAAUGAAGCCAUCGAUCUGAUAGAGCAAAUGCCUUUUGAUGCAGAUACAACAAUCUGGUCUUCUGUGUUGAGAGGCUGUGUGGCUCAUGGGAAUAGAACUCUUGGGAAGAAAGUAGCGGAGAAAAUUAUCAAGCUUGAUCCGGGGAAUUCAGGUGCUUAUGUACAGUUAUCUGGCAUACUUGCUGACUUUGGGGAUUGGGAAAGAUCAGCAGAAGUUAGGUAUAUGAUGAAGGAAAAACAAGUAGGGAAAGAUCCUGGUUGUAGUUGGGCUGACUGCUGAACGCUAAAUAUGAUUGCUGGAAGGCAGUGAAGAGGGCAUCUGGUAUACAUGAAGUUCAUCUCUACAAACAUUAUGCCUUGGAAAUAAAGGUAUAUAUGUCAAGAUUGGUAAAACAUAUUGGAGAGUUGGUAAUGCCUUUUCUGCCCUCGUUUUUCAAGAUCACUCUGUUGGUUAAGAUAUGCAUAUUAGAGGCAGAUUUUAGACAGUUAUAGAUCUCUCUCUUUCUGCUGCUUUUUUAUAGUAAGUGAGUGCUUGGUACCUCAAGACUCGAGUGUUUGUUGCAUAAACGUCCAUUAACUCCUAUUAUCAGGUUUAGGAAAUUUUCAGGAAACGGCUGGAUGAGAUGCCGGAUUAAGUAUGCAUGCAUAGUGUUGGUGCGCUGCGUUACUCUUCCUACCAGAAAUCUCGUGCACUCCUGAAUGAUCUGAUGUUGUGGGUAACUUAUUCGUUUUGUUGAGCUGGUAUCCGAUGUCUCUCUGACAAGAAUGUCACCGAUAUCUCAGCUUGCACACUCAUGCUUCAUUUUCCUUGUAUUGCAAAUUAGUGAAUACUCUAUGAUGUGACCAAUUGCGAGUUCUUUUCUGUUAUUUCAGAAUCCAGAAACUAAAGCUCUGGUGAAAAGCAUAAGCGUAGCAAGUGGCUAAUCAGUUGAACUGUCACAUCUCAAGCAAGAUGGACCAUCUAAUUAGUAUUGCAGGUAAACGAUAUUUUCAUAAAUUACUGAUGACUUGUCUCUAUCUGCAAGGAUUUCUGCAAGAGGAGUAGGCUUGUCUUGAUGUUCAGUUUAAGCUUUGCUCUCGUGAAAUUGGCAUAUGAUGUUGAUCCAAGGAGUAGGGUCAGACACUUCUCUUGGAUGAUUGAUCUUUCUACCUGUGCUGGUUACUAAUGCUAUGCCACAGAUCCGACAGAGCAAAUAAAUGCCUUUCGCCGCAGAUACAUCAAUGUGGUCAUCGGCUUUGGGAGGUUUAUGUGGCUUAUGGGAAUGAAGCUCCUGGGAAGAAGGUUGCAGAUCAAUUGAUGGAAGCUCAAUCCAGAGACUGAUAGGCGAGGGAAUUAUGAGCAGAGGGUUGUGAAGUAUCGGAUAGAGAGCGGGAGAGAAUUUGUGAAUACACAAAUGGAUGAUAAGGGACAACCCGGGGGCCGAGGAUUUUCGGUCCGAAACGGAACCCGUGUUCGGACUCAUCCAUCAAUUUACGCGGGCCAUGCCAGACCAGACGUGGUGCGUGUUUGCAGUGAAGUCGGACCCCACAGCACAUCACCCCCAUAAACCGGGGAAACGUGGCGAAAGGACACCACGAAAGAUGGAUGGAGUAAAUACUUUGCGAACGGAAUCCGUCCAUCUUUCAGUCGGGUCUCUUUUCAAAGGCACAUCACCGUCCAGUUCAGUCCAGUCCAGUCAGGUGUCAUUGAUGACGACGAUGGACCCCCCACGGCAAUGCCAACCGCACUUUCGUAUCCAAGGCUUAUCUCUCCCCGAGAAAAGUCGGGCUCUUCGAUGGCGACCGGCUCCUUUGGGAAUCAUCAUAGAAGCUCCGCACCCGCGAUAACGUGCUCCGCCCUUACCCCGCGGUGCAAGCCGGAGUAGCUAGCGCGGACGUUAAAGCGGAUCCAGGCUCUUCCUGAAGUCAAGGGGAGGUGGCAGUUCAGGUUUAGCAAAUCAACGAAAAGAAACCGAACGUACUUCGGAAGGCCUUCGCGAAUGAAUAGGACUGGUCUUCUUUUUUUUUUUUCCGGCGAUUCCGGUCUAGCAAAUCAACGAAAAGUAAACGAACGUACUUUGAAAGGCCUUC